UACGUAGGGGGCUAGCGUUGUCCGGAAUCAUUGGGCGUAAAGAGCGUGUAGGCGGCCCGGUAAGUCCGCUGUGAAAGUCGGGGGCUCAACCCUCGAAAGCCGGUGGAUACUGUCGGGCUAGAGUGCGGAAGAGGCGAGUGGAAUUCCCGGUGUAGCAGUGAAAUGCGUAGAGAUCGAGAGGAACAUCUGUGGCGAAGGCGACUACCUGGACCAGCACUGACACUGAGGCACGAAAGCGUGGGGAGCAAACAGG
This 253-nucleotide ribosomal RNA is filed under the name uncultured bacterium. Its description in RNAcentral is "partial 16S ribosomal RNA". It matches the Rfam family "Bacterial small subunit ribosomal RNA", at positions 524 to 776 of the family's 1533-position model. The record is from RNAcentral.